GAUGAACGCUGGCGGCGUGCUUAACACAUGCAAGUCGAACGGAAAGGCCCAAGCUUGCUUGGGUACUCGAGUGGCGAACGGGUGAGUAACACGUGGGUGAUCUGCCCUGCACUUCGGGAUAAGCCUGGGAAACUGGGUCUAAUACCGGAUAGGACGAUGGUUUGGAUGCCAUUGUGGACAGUUUUUUCGGUGUGGGAUGAGCUCGCGGCCUAUCAGCUUGUUGGUGGGGUAAUGGCCUACCAAGGCGUCGACGGGUAGCCGGCCUGAGAGGGUGUACGGCCACAUUGGGACUGAGAUACGGCCCAGACUCCUACGGGGGGCAGCAGUGGGGAAUAUUGCACAAUGGGCGCAAGCCUGAUGCAGCGAGGCCGCGUGGGGGAUGACGGCCUUCGGGUUGUAAACUCCUUUCGCUAGGGACGAAGCGUUUUUGUGACGGUACCUGGAGAAGAAGCACCGGCUAACUACGUG
This 468-nucleotide ribosomal RNA is filed under the name uncultured bacterium. RNAcentral's name for it is "partial 16S ribosomal RNA". It matches the Rfam family "Bacterial small subunit ribosomal RNA", at positions 28 to 507 of the family's 1533-position model. The record is from RNAcentral.